GUAGGUGGCAAGCGUUGUCCGGAAUUAUUGGGCGUAAAGCGCGCGCAGGUGGUUCUUUAAGCCUGAUGUGAAAGCCCCCGGCUCAACCGGGGAGGGUCAUUGGAAACUGGGGAACUUGAGUGCAGGAGAGGAAAGUGGAAUUCCACGUGUAGCGGUGAAAUGCGUAGAUAUGUGGAGGAACACCAGUGGCGAAGGCGACUUUCUGGCCUGUAACUGACACUGAGGCGCGAAAGCGUGGGGAGCAAACAGGGAUUAGAUACCCUGGUAGUCCACGCCGUAAACGAUGAGUGCUAAGUGUUGGGGGGGUUUCCCGCCCCUCAGUGCUGCAGCUAACGCAUUAAGCACUCCGCCUGGGGAGUACGGUCGCAAGACUG
This 374-nucleotide ribosomal RNA is filed under the name uncultured organism. Its description in RNAcentral is "partial 16S ribosomal RNA". It matches the Rfam family "Bacterial small subunit ribosomal RNA", at positions 527 to 896 of the family's 1533-position model. The record is from RNAcentral.